This is a long non-coding RNA of Loxodonta africana (African savanna elephant), 1911 nucleotides long. RefSeq lists it as uncharacterized. The record is from RefSeq and is a predicted model, not a curated record. The transcript has 2 exons. Lineage: Eukaryota; Metazoa; Chordata; Mammalia; Proboscidea; Elephantidae.
GGGAAACAGCCUUAUUCCAGGGGCACCCCAGCCGCCAAAACACGACCCGAGGACCGGCGCACCCAGAAACGCGGCUCUGCUCACAAGGCGUCUCCGCUCUUGGACGGUUUUAAAGAACAUACAACAUACAGAAAGAGCAGCAAAGAUUAAAAGUACUGGUGUUGAUGCGGAGCCAAGAUGGCGGAAUAGACAGGCGCUUCCAUCAAGCCCUCUUUACACCAAAGACCCGAAAAAACAAGUGAAAGGAGUAUAUUUGUGACAAGCUGGGAGCCCUGAGCAUCAAAGGCAAGCUUAGACAACGAACUGAGGGGCAGGGGGAGGAAGAGACCAUUCAGAAGUGGAGAGGAGUUGCCAGACCUGAAUCGUGGGGAGCCCUCAGGCACCAUUCCUGGACUGGCUGUGGUGGCGGCAGCGGCAGAGGCAGGCUGGUCCUAGCGUUCGGCCACCGUUUCCUCAGGGAGAAGCAGCCAGCCACACAGCCCACUCACACCUCCAUCACCUGAGCUGAAGGGCACUCUCGCCAAAAGCUAAGUACUUGCGUAUAUUUUACCGCGCCCCUCCCACCCCCAAGCCAGAUUCAGCGGCUGAAUCCCUAGGCCUGAGAUACACCCUGGUGAGCACCUGCAGCCGUCCUCCCAGCCUUGGGGAAGGAAAAAAUCUCCAACUGGGGGUAAAAGAUAAUUUGCCAGCUCCAUUAACUGGGGGAGCUCAGGACAGAAGUGGCUCCUGUCCAGGCAUAAACUGUCCGUGGACCUUGAGCACCUUUCCCUUCUGCAUAGACCUGUGUGGGCCUAUUUCGGGAGAAUAGGCCCUUGUUGGCAAACUCCAACCAUAUCAGCGGUGCAGUGGAGAGGUGGGUGUUUGACUUUUGACAUUGCUUUGCCUAUUAAACAAGGUACUCACCUACCCACAACAGGGACGUAAGGACUGGUGGCUCCGCUUGGGUUGCCCAGCCGCCCAUGACAGGGGCCCAGGGAUAUCUGGUACCUCCCGUCCUUACAACAAAAUCUUUGGGUGCCCACGGUCCCUCUGCAGAGCCCACCCAAGAGCAUGCUCUAGGGAACAGAGACGCGUUUUCCUCAGAGACACUUGGGGGCCGGUUCUCAGCCCCCUGCCUUAUUCAGAGCAUGACCCCUGCUGCAAUCAGAUACCGGUAUGUACACCAAUCACCCCUGCACCUCUAAGACUGUGGGACAGAGCUUGUACCACACACUUGAUGAUCAGCUACCUGGAAACCUGAGCUGAAUUCAUACAAGAAAACUGAAUGGAUUCCUAGAAUGAUAUACCUGAUAACAGCUCUAGCCAGCUGGGGACAGGACACCAGAGCUCCAAAGGCAAAAAUAAUCAACCUAGCUCACUCAAGCAACCCAUGGGGUAUACCAAAACAAAACAAAGCAAGCAGCUAUGACACAGUAAGCCAGGAUACACUAAUACAAUAACUUAUAGAUGGCUCGUAGACAACAGUCAAUAUCAAGUCACAUAAAGAAAUAGUCCGUGAUCACGUCAACAGGCUCUCAAAACAAAGAAUCCAGGGAUCUUCUAGAUGAAAGUACAUUCCUGGAAUUACAGGAUGCAGAAUACAAAAGUUUAAUAUAAGUUUAACCCUUCAAGACAUCAGGAAGGAAAUGAGGCAAUAUGCAGAACAAGCCAAGGAACACACACAUAAAGCAACUGAAGAAAUCAGAAAGAUUAUUCCAGAACAUAAUGAAAAGUUUAAUACGCUGGAAAAAUCCAUAGACAGACAGCAAUCAGAAAUUCAGAAGAUUAACACUAAAAUUACAGAAUUAGACAACUCAAUAGAGUCAGAGGAGCAGAAUUGAGCAAGUAGAAGCUAGAAUUUCUGAACUCGAAGAUAAAUCACUUGGCACUAAUAUAUAUGAAGAAAAAUCAGAUAAAAGAAUUUAAACAAAA